GGACGAACGCUGGCGGCGUGCCUAACACAUGCAAGUCGAGCGGGGACAUGCGACGGAAGUGAAGUUUCGGAUGGAGCGGAAGAUGUAUGUUCUAGCGGCGGACGGGUGAGUAACGCGUGAGCAACCUGUCCCUUACAGGGGGAUAACACAGCGAAAGUUGUACUAAUACCGCAUAAGACCACGGGGAGACAUCUUCCAGGGGUCAAAGGAGCAAUCCGGUAAGGGGUGGGCUCGCGUCCGAUUAGAUAGUUGGUGAGGUAACGGCCCACCAAGUCGACGAUCGGUAGCCGACCUGAGAGGGUGAUCGGCCACAUUGGGACUGAGACACGGCCCAAACUCCUACGGGAGGCAGCAGUGGGGAAUAUUGGGCAAUGGGGGAAACCCUGACCCAGCAACGCCGCGUGAGGGAAGAAGGUUUUCGGAUCGUAAACCUCUGUCCUUGGUGAAGAGGAAGAGACGGUAGCCAAGGAGGAAGCCCCGGCUAACUACGUGCCAGCAGCAGC
This 503-nucleotide ribosomal RNA is filed under the name uncultured bacterium. RNAcentral's name for it is "bacterial SSU rRNA". It matches the Rfam family "Bacterial small subunit ribosomal RNA", at positions 27 to 518 of the family's 1533-position model. The record is from RNAcentral.